This 53-nucleotide transfer RNA is filed under the name Pandorites podoceroides. RNAcentral's name for it is "tRNA-Arg". The record is from RNAcentral. Lineage: Eukaryota; Metazoa; Arthropoda; Malacostraca; Amphipoda; Pontogammaridae.
AAAGUAAAAAGUAUUUGAUUUCGAAUCAAAGAAUGGUUUUAGCCUUACUUUGC